Molecule: long non-coding RNA, 1010 nt
Filed under: Hordeum vulgare
Lineage: Eukaryota; Viridiplantae; Streptophyta; Magnoliopsida; Poales; Poaceae
Description: long non-coding RNA (HVUL_LNC009261)
Source: RNAcentral
AACCCUCUUAGGAUUGAUGUCCAGUUGAAAAGCAGCAGUGCUGGGGCACCUCAGCCUAACCAGCAGGUAUUGAAUUCCCGGUCUAAGAUGGAAGAUCAACUAGCCCAGGUAAAAUCAGCUAUUGAUGAAGCGUUGAAGUUUGUACCAGAGCAAGUUCCUGCUGUCCUUGCUAAACUAUCGCAUGAGCUGCGCUCUAAAGCUGCAUCAUCGGCAUCACCGGUGCAUGAGUUGCUGGAUUGUAUUGCUAAACUGGUAACACCCAAGAGCGAUAUGCAACCUACCAGUGGUCUCUCUGAUAGUUCGUCUGGCUCCUCUAAUGGUAAUCUACAAACAGUGAGAGACAUAAAAAAUAAUCAUGCAUCUGAAUCUGCAACAGUUUCAGCUUCAAAUUCGCAACAUGCUAAAUCAUCUGGAGCAGUGUCCUGUGAUCUACUUCAACUUACAUCAGUAAUGCAUGUAGGGUUGCAAAUAAAGUAAAUAUUCAGACGUAGUGUCCGAGGGUACCCGAGGGCCAAAUUUGUGUCCUCCGGGCCGACGUUCAGGUUCAGCACACCAGUAAAUUUAGCACACACUGUUUCAGAAAUUCAGGUUUAGACAAUCACGCUAUUUCGGGACAGGUUCAGGGUUUAACCAAAAAAAAUUGACAAGAGUCCACCUGCAAUAUAAUUUCAGCAGUUAUUUACAACUUAACGUUCCCCAACUUAAUACUAUUGUGUUUUGCCAAGCAUCGUACCACACCUCAUCUCCUUGUUCCUUCCAUUCUCUCUAUCUCUAUGUAGUGGGCAUUUUAUCAAGCAGUUGGCAUGCUCGCCUGCAAGUGCCAUCUAUGCACCAUCCACACACGGAACCAGUGCAAGCGCUACUGCUAGAGUAUCCAUGGGAGCCAUACGAGCAAGCAUCCAUGUGAUGUAUGACCUACAUACAGGCACGUACGUAGUAAGUAGUUCCGCAUGUAAGUAACCUCGAUCGAGGACAGCAUGGAGACGACUCCUUCAGCUCAAGGCUUCUGC